UCCCUGGCGGUCUAGUGGUUAAGACUCUGUGCUUCCAGUACAAGGGGCUUGGGUUCGAUCCCCGGCCAGGGAA
RNAcentral lists this transfer RNA (73 nucleotides) under Ovis aries (sheep). It matches the Rfam family "tRNA". From Rfam's summary of the family: Transfer RNA (tRNA) molecules are approximately 80 nucleotides in length. Their secondary structure includes four short double-helical elements and three loops (D, anti-codon, and T loops). Further hydrogen bonds mediate the characteristic L-shaped molecular structure. tRNAs have two regions of fundamental functional importance: the anti-codon, which is responsible for specific mRNA codon recognition, and the 3' end, to which the tRNAs corresponding amino acid is attached (by aminoacyl-tRNA synthetases). tRNAs cope with the degeneracy of the genetic code in two manners: having more than one tRNA (with a specific anti-codon) for a particular amino acid; and 'wobble' base-pairing, i.e. permitting non-standard base-pairing at the 3rd anti-codon position. Lineage: Eukaryota; Metazoa; Chordata; Mammalia; Artiodactyla; Bovidae. The record is from Rfam by way of RNAcentral.